RNAcentral lists this ribosomal RNA (594 nucleotides) under Triticum aestivum (bread wheat). Its description in RNAcentral is "partial small subunit ribosomal RNA". The record is from RNAcentral. Lineage: Eukaryota; Viridiplantae; Streptophyta; Magnoliopsida; Poales; Poaceae.
AUGCCUGACUGGCAUGUGUUAGCUAUGAUGACGGAUGGAAAUGUUGGUCAAAAUGGACAGAGAACACACUUGACAGUCAGGCAUUCUAUAGUCAUGAGCCAGGUGUCCGACGCAUUGUCAAACGAAUGCACGGACGACAGGUCGUACGACCUGUUCGUGGAAGGAAUCGGUGAGGCAAUAAACAAAGUCAGGUUAGACAAGCGGCUCCGCCAAGAACAACAACUCUUAGGUGGGAAGCGACGGUGUAUUGAUGAUCCUCAGCAGCUGAAUGUUGAUGCCAGGCAGGAGGGGGAUGGCGACCUACACAUCCCUACUCAAGUGCAUCAAAACAUUAUGUCUACCAUCGGUGCGUCUAGCAUGGGUGGCGUUGAGGUGCAUAAAACAUUUGAUUUGAGAGACCCCCCGCUGUCAGGCACAGAAGGUUUCAACCUUGGUGAUAGGCCAAAGACCAUGUAUGAAAAGGUUUCUGAUAAGCUUAAGAAACAAAAAGCAGUAAGGAAGUGUUCCAAGUGCAGGCUGCCAGGCCAUAAAAAGCCACAAUGCCCCCGACAUAACGAGGCGCCGUGGGCUGGACCAGAGCUACGAGAUGCAUAG